UAUUACUGUUGAUUCACUUUGAAUU
This 25-nucleotide non-coding RNA is filed under the name Cricetulus griseus (Chinese hamster). Lineage: Eukaryota; Metazoa; Chordata; Mammalia; Rodentia; Cricetidae. The record is from RNAcentral.